AACUGCAUUUAUGUGUAAAUACUGUUGUUUUUUUUUUUUUUAAUCCGAUAGGUGACUUUCUGUGUGAAGGAACUAUUAAGAACUCAUCGUGCAUGCCAUGCACACUUCUCGGUACAAGAUUAGAUAGAACAACCCAGUAAAACACAAUGUUAAACAUCGUUGCACACAUCAUUAAUCAGAGAAAGUCAACAUGACCACAGUCUGCAAAUGUUCUCCUUGCCAUUUCAAGUAAUCUCUCUGGUCUGACUCACGCAGUCUGACCACCUGUAUGGUCUUGCCCAGGAAGUGAUUGCUGCGGUGCAAGUUACUCACUCAUAAAAUUCAGGGAAUGGAUUAUUUGUAUGUUGCAUAUGAACUAGUUCCCUGAAUGCAGGCAUGUUCAAAGUUUGACCCACAGCACAGUUUUUACUGGCCUUUGGAAUAUUCUAAAAGUGAUAUUUAAUAUUGCCUGCCACACCAUCUCCCUUCUCUCCGCUAAGAUCACCAGUCAAGAAAAUGUGUGCUUGACGAUCAAAAAUCUAAUCGUAUAUUACUCCUAUGAUCAGUAAAAUGGACAUGCUUAACCCUUUCAUGCAACCUGUAACCUGAUAACAUGAUAAGCUGGCCACUGUAGUAACCGCUGUCCCUCAAAGGGUUACAUUUGGGAAAGGACAAAUCAAUCCGGUUAGGUCUAAUUCGUCCUGACCAAGCACUGUCAUCUAAAAAUAAUUUUGGUAUUGUAGUUGUAGUUUUUAGGGAUCUCUUUUGGUGGUCUUUUGCAUCCCAUAAAAGUAAGCAAAGUAACUGUGAAAGUACCAAUUUGAUUAUGUCUGUCAGAUAUUGUACUCAUGUCAAAAAUGGGCACGAGUGAGGUCAAGUUGUGUGGAACAAUCCCGGGGUGGAAAAAGGUCAUUGUGACCGAGCAGGAGCUAUGCAGCAUUAAUAGAGAGCAAGUGAUAUCUUGACAUCUAAAUUGCAGCACACACAAA
Molecule: long non-coding RNA, 968 nt
Organism: Hippocampus comes (tiger tail seahorse)
Lineage: Eukaryota; Metazoa; Chordata; Actinopteri; Syngnathiformes; Syngnathidae
Exons: 2
Source: RefSeq, a predicted model, not a curated record